Molecule: long non-coding RNA, 1072 nt
Filed under: Camelus dromedarius (Arabian camel)
Lineage: Eukaryota; Metazoa; Chordata; Mammalia; Artiodactyla; Camelidae
Description: lncRNA (ENSCDRG00005001196.1)
Source: RNAcentral
GAACAAUGCAAUUUAUAACAAUGUAAAAAAUAUUCUUUUAAAAUCAAUAGCCGUUAGUGACUGAAAUUAUCACAUGCCUUAGUCCUUCAGUGUCAGACCCCAAGUUUUCUCCCUGAGUCUCUGGAACUGACAGCGUUGAGCUGGAAUCUUGGCUGAAUGAGGAAUUUUAAGGAAAAACUGUUCUGUACGGUGUCAGUCUUAAAUGGAGCAUUCUUACCAGAGAGGGUUUUGUAUUUCUCAUUGUACUUUGUAAUAUAGAGACAAGUCCGACUCUCGUUACCUUAAACUGCUUAAAUUAAUUCCACUUGCAGGGGAAAAAAAAUCGAAAAUCCGGGGAUCCACCACCGCCCCACAGCGACCACCUGCAGACCGGGAUUUCCAACCACUGAAUUCCUUGAGCCUCAUGAGCUGGACAAGGGUGCCACCUGCUGGCCAAAACUGCUCUUUAUUGGAACCGUUUUGAACUUGUUAGGAGGAAAAAAAUCUUCGUUUCCGACAUAAUUAGUACACACAACUCUAAGCUUUUACCUCAAAAUUGUAAAAGACAAUAAUUUAUAAAAAGCACACUCAAGGAACAGGGAAGCACCAUCCUCUGCCCCGCCCGCUGCCCCUCCUUCUCGGGCUCCCUCGGCCCCGCCCCCGGAAGUCCCGCCUCUAGCCCCGCUCUUGCAGUUUCUUCCGGAACUAGAAGCAAGGAUCGCCGAGGGACGGUCACACGGGCGAAUAUUGCCUUCUAAAGAUUUACUUAGCCUGAAGAAGAAUCCUAGAAGAGGAGGAAGAGGAUAGAAAAAGAGUCAGAAAUGGCUUUUUCUCAGGUAAAGUCAUAGAAAUCUUUCACCUUGUUGGCCCAGUUUUUCCUCCGUGUUCUAUCCCUUUUGGUGCUGCUUAAUGUCUGUGUCACUUUUCUCUUCUGUUAAGAUGUGAACAGAUCUUUUCCCUAAUGACCUAUGAUGUAGAUACUUUAUAAAGCGUUGAGAGUAAUGCUUAGUAUUUAAGAAAUAUUCGAACAUCUUUAGUCAUUGCUCUUGUUAUCAUCAAAAUCAUUUAGAUUUUGUCUUUGCUUUAAAGCCAC